ACAAGGUUUCCGUAGGUGAACCUGCGGAAGGAUCAUUGUAGAAUGAUGUAGGAAAAUGACAUGUGAACUUGUAUUCCCUUACCUGGUAUUAGGGCCCGGAAGAUUCUGUGCCUCCUUCUGCCUGGCUGAUUGACAUCUGGGUUAGCCAUCGGUGCUCUUUCUUGUCAAGACGCCACCAAAACAAACCCCGGCACGGAACGUGUCAAGGAAAACAAUAUAUAAAAAGAGUUGGCCUGUAAUGAUCCGUUUUUGGUUUGCGUUCGGGCCUUAUAUCUUUAAAAUUCAUAAACGACUAUCGGCAACGGAUAUCUCGGCUCACGCAUCGAUGAAGAACGUAGCAAAAUGCCAUACUUGGUGUGAAUUGCAGAAUCCCCUGAACCAUCGAGUUUUUGAACACAAAUUGCCCCUAAACCCAUUUCCUUGACCCCACGUCUGCCUGGGCGUCUCGCAUCAUGUCGAUCCCCUCAACGCCAAAUGAUAAACAUGUUGCUGGGAAGCGGAGAUUGGUCUCCCAUGCCCCAUGGUAUGGUUGGCUAAAAAGAAGGUUUUUUUACGACUGAAGCAUGACUGUUUGUGGUUGACAAAACGUAUGGUAGGAGUUGAGUAGUCAAUGUGGAGGAAAAAAAUAAAUGAAAGACCCUAAAGCAUUAUCGUAUGUUAAUGUUUCGAAUGCGACCCCAGGUCAGGCGGGACUACCCGCUGAGUUUAAGCA
RNAcentral lists this ribosomal RNA (712 nucleotides) under Acilepis kingii. RNAcentral describes it as "eukaryotic LSU rRNA". The stretch from base 291 to 446 matches the Rfam family "5.8S ribosomal RNA". The record is from RNAcentral. Lineage: Eukaryota; Viridiplantae; Streptophyta; Magnoliopsida; Asterales; Asteraceae.